RNAcentral lists this transfer RNA (70 nucleotides) under Gemmuloborsonia moosai. RNAcentral's name for it is "tRNA-Ile". Lineage: Eukaryota; Metazoa; Mollusca; Gastropoda; Neogastropoda; Turridae. The record is from RNAcentral.
AGUACUACGCCGGAUGAACGGGAGUCAUUGAUGUUGACUAUUAUGGGAUUUUUUGGUGUCUCUAGUACUA